RNAcentral lists this ribosomal RNA (456 nucleotides) under uncultured organism. Its description in RNAcentral is "partial 16S ribosomal RNA". It matches the Rfam family "Bacterial small subunit ribosomal RNA", at positions 329 to 801 of the family's 1533-position model. The record is from RNAcentral.
ACGUACACUCCUACGGGAGGCAGCAGUGGGGAAUAUUGGACAAUGGGCGCAAGCCUGAUCCAGCCAUGCCGCGUGAGUGAUGAAGGCCCUAGGGUUGUAAAGCUCUUUCACCGGUGAAGAUAAUGACGGUAACCGGAGAAGAAGCCCCGGCUAACUUCGUGCCAGCAGCCGCGGUAAUACGAAGGGGGCUAGCGUUGUUCGGAUUUACUGGGCGUAAAGCGCACGUAGGCGGACUAUUAAGUCAGGGGUGAAAUCCCGGGGCUCAACCCCGGAACUGCCUUUGAUACUGGUAGUCUUGAGGUCGAGAGAGGUGAGUGGAAUUCCGAGUGUAGAGGUGAAAUUCGUAGAUAUUCGGAGGAACACCAGUGGCGAAGGCGGCUCACUGGCUCGAUACUGACGCUGAGGUGCGAAAGCGUGGGGAGCAAACAGGAUUAGAUACCCCGGUAGUCCCAUGAU